CCUACGGGAGGCUGCAGUGGGGAAUAUUGGACAAUGGGGGGAACCCUGAUCCAGCCAUGCCGCGUGUGUGAAGAAGGCCCUCGGGUUGUAAAGCACUUUCAGUGAGGAAGAACGCCUGGUGGUUAAUACCCAUCAGGAAAGACAUCACUCACAGAAGAAGCACCGGCUAACUCCGUGCCAGCAGCCGCGGUAAUACGGAGGGUGCGAGCGUUAAUCGGAAUUACUGGGCGUAAAGCGCGCGUAGGUGGCUUGAUAAGCCGGUUGUGAAAGCCCCGGGCUCAACCUGGGAACGGCAUCCGGAACUGUCAAGCUAGAGUGCAGGAGAGGAAGGUAGAAUUCCCGGUGUAGCGGUGAAAUGCGUAGAGAUCGGGAGGAAUACCAGUGGCGAAGGCGGCCUUCUGGACUGACACUGACACUGAGGUGCGAAAGCGUGGGUAGCAAACAGGAUUAGAUACCUCUGUAGUC
RNAcentral lists this ribosomal RNA (465 nucleotides) under Vreelandella stevensii. RNAcentral's name for it is "partial 16S ribosomal RNA". It matches the Rfam family "Bacterial small subunit ribosomal RNA", at positions 338 to 795 of the family's 1533-position model. The record is from RNAcentral. Lineage: Bacteria; Pseudomonadati; Pseudomonadota; Gammaproteobacteria; Oceanospirillales; Halomonadaceae.